AUCACCGAUUCUCUCCAUGACCUUCUUCUCUCUGUAUACAUCGUCUCUCUCCUCCGGAUCCAUCGUCGUGGUCGAAAGUCAUGGUCGAGUUCUGACAUCUCUGUCUCACGGUGAAACCAUCAUUCCUGAUAGAUCCAGAGGCUCACGGUGAAAGCGAAAUCGAUUGGAUUAGAAAUCAUGAUGAAGACGAUAAAGAAUUUCUACAAGUCCAUCCUAAUUCUUCAUCUUCUACUCGGAGGUUGCGUCGUUUAAGCGAACGUCGGUGUCGUCGAGCGUUGGGGCCGAGUCGAGCAUAUAGCCAAGCCUGGAUGCCACUUCUUCAACCCUCUUGCAUGUCAGUGGCUCGCCAGAGUCCUGUCCACCAGGAUCAACUCUCUCGAGGUCAAAAUCGAGGUCAGAAUCGAGACGCUGAGUUCUUUUAUGGAUGCAACAAUGCUACCACCAAGUCUGCAAAUUCGAAAGCAGUGACGAGAAAUGAUCGAUACUUGGCAAUUGCCACCUGUGGUGGUUUGAACCAACAGUGAAAUGGAGUGAGAGUUCUAUUCACCUUUCUCUGGUUUUGUACUUUAAAUCUCUGUGGAUUAUCUAUCACAUUAGAGCUCUACACGAAAUCUUCGUUUUUUGCAAUUUUUCUAGAGUUUUCUUGUGGAAUCUACAAGUGGGAACACAGGGAUUGGUCUUGCUUUCAUUGCUGCUUCGAAAGGAUAUAAAUGCCUGCCUCCAUGAGUCUGGAAAGAAGGCUUCUUUUGAGGGCGUUUGGAGCCGAGCUUGUGUUAACUGAACCUGCAAAAGGCAUGACUGGAGCUAUUCAGAAGGCUGAAGAGAUCUUUAAGAACACUCCCAACUCCUACAUGCUCCAACAGUUUGACAACCCACCCAAUCCCAAGAGUCAUGUUAUUGGAACCGUACAUGGAGAGUUUGAGUGAGAGAAUAGGAGUUAUAAGUGUAUUGCUCAGAAAAAUAUUUGGUCUCCGUCCAGUGGCCGUAAGGAAGAAGGUCGUGGCUCGAUGGUGGUUCAAGCGCUGAGUGCAGCCACAGCAAGUGGUUGCUCAGCUUUGAUAACUAUGCCGGUAGACACAAUCAAGACGAGGCUGCAGGUUUUAGACACGGAGGAGAACGGGAGGAGACGAGCAAUGACAGUGAUGCCGACGGUGAAGAGCUUGAUGACGGAAGGAGGUGGGUUCGGGGCUUGUUACAGAGGGCUAGGACCAAGGUGGGUCUCAAUGUCAAUGUCUGCAACAACCAUGAUCACAACCUAUGAGUUCUUGAAGCGUCGUUCCACAAAGAAGCAGAGAUGAUAUAAAGUUAUAUAAACCAUUUAUAGUCUUAAGUUUCUCUGUUUCUUGUGUUGAAAUGAAGAAACAUAAUGGCAAAAAAACAUUUUUUACUCUCUAAUAAACAAACAUAAAAUAGAGCCAA
Raphanus sativus (radish) is the source of this 1419-nucleotide long non-coding RNA. RefSeq lists it as uncharacterized. The transcript is spliced from 3 exons. The record is from RefSeq and is a predicted model, not a curated record. Lineage: Eukaryota; Viridiplantae; Streptophyta; Magnoliopsida; Brassicales; Brassicaceae.